GGUUAAGUUAGAAAGGGCGCACGGUGGAUGCCUUGGCACUAGGAGCCGAAGAAGGACGGGACUAACACCGAUAUGCUUUGGGGAGCUGUACGUAAGCGUUGAUCCAGAGAUUUCCGAAUGGGGGAACCCACUAUCUUUAGUCGGAUAGUAUCCUUACGUGAAUACAUAGCGUGAGGAAGGCAGACCCAGGGAACUGAAACAUCUAAGUACCUGGAGGAAGAGAAAGAAAAAUCGAUUUCCUGAGUAGCGGCGAGCGAAACGGAAAGAGCCCAAACCAAGAAGCUUGCUUCUUGGGGUUGUAGGACACUCUAUACGGAGUUACAAAAGAAAGUUAUAAAUGAAGCGGUCUGGAAAGGCCCGCCAAAGACGGUAACAGCCCGGUAGUUGAAAUGGCUUUCCCUCCAGAGUGGAUCCUGAGUACGGCGGAACACGUGAAAUUCCGUCGGAAUCCGGGAGGACCAUCUCCCAAGGCUAAAUACUCCCUAGUGACCGAUAGUGAACCAGUACCGUGAGGGAAAGGUGAAAAGCACCCCGGAAGGGGAGUGAAACAGUUCCUGAAACCGUGUGCCUACAAGUAGUUAGAGCCCGUUAAUGGGUGAUAGCGUGCCUUUUGUAGAAUGAACCGGCGAGUUACGAUUUGUUGCAAGGUUAAGCGGAAAAAGCGGAGCCGUAGCGAAAGCGAGUCUGAAUAGGGCGCAUAAGUAACAGGUCGUAGACCCGAAACCAGGUGAUCUACCCAUGUCCAGGAUGAAGGUAAGGUAAUACUUACUGGAGGUCCGAACCCACGCACGUUGAAAAGUGCGGGGAUGAGGUGUGGGUAGCGGAGAAAUUCCAAUCGAACUUGGAGAUAGCUGGUUCUCUCCGAAAUAGCUUUAGGGCUAGCCUCGA
This 888-nucleotide ribosomal RNA is filed under the name Listeria monocytogenes. Its description in RNAcentral is "partial 23S ribosomal RNA". It matches the Rfam family "Bacterial large subunit ribosomal RNA", at positions 1 to 885 of the family's 2925-position model. The record is from RNAcentral. Lineage: Bacteria; Bacillati; Bacillota; Bacilli; Caryophanales; Listeriaceae.